Molecule: ribosomal RNA, 475 nt
Filed under: uncultured bacterium
Lineage: Bacteria
Description: bacterial SSU rRNA
Rfam family: Bacterial small subunit ribosomal RNA
Source: RNAcentral
UAGUCCACGCCGUAAACGAUGGACACUCGUUGUCGGAUCUGUCAUGGAUUCGGUGACCAAGUUAACGCAUUAAGUGUCCCGCCUGGGGAGUACGUCCGCAAGGAUGAAACCCAAAGGAAUUGACGGGGGCCCGCACAAGCGGUGGAGCAUGUGCUUUAAUUCGAUGCAACGCGAAGAACCUUACCUGGUCUUGACAUACCAGUGCCCGCUUUAGAGAUAAAGUUUUUUCUUCGGAAACACUGGAUACAGGUGCUGCAUGGUUGUCGUCAGCUCGUGUCGUGAGAUGUUGGGUUAAGUCCCGCAACGAGCGCAACCCUUGUCCUUAGUUGCCAGCACGUAAUGGUGGGAACUCUAAGGAGACUGCCUACGCAAGUAGGAGGAAGGUGAGGGAUGACGUCAAAUCAUCAUGGUCCUUACGACCUGGGGCUACACACGUGCUACAAUGGUCGGUACAAACGGGUUGCGAAGCAGCGAU